This is a long non-coding RNA of Pocillopora verrucosa, 782 nucleotides long. RefSeq lists it as uncharacterized. The record is from RefSeq and is a predicted model, not a curated record. NCBI's taxonomy places the organism in Eukaryota, Metazoa, Cnidaria, Anthozoa, Scleractinia, Pocilloporidae.
GCGCUAUUUCAAUAUUUUCAGCGCGCUUUUGCCGGUUUUCGACUGAGCGAUCGACACCUUUCUGUGAUACUUUUUGGAAAGGGAUGAAAGAGUAUGACAAGUUUACCACCAUUUCUAACUCUGUGGAUACUCGUGGAGUUUGCUGGCUCUUCGGAUGAGGAUAUUUUAAUGAUCAAAGUGCGAACAAAACGCGAAAAUAGACCGAAAACUUGAAGUUUGAAAUUUGAUUUGCUGACGAUCAAGAUGUGCCCAUGAGACUACAAACCUUGAAGUCCCAUAGGAUACAAGGCUUAAAAAAGUGUUCCAGCUUCAGGAUUGAGUUGCACUUUCUACAACCUUCGGCGAAUUCGUUUUUUGGAGGUUGAGGGGGAAUCUCUAAGUCAUGGCUCACAACUGUCUUUGGCCUUUUUGCUCUCCAAGUUUGUUGUACUUGGUAUGUAGGCAUGUGUCUUAACAACGUUUAUAGUCUUGCCUCGAUCAUCUCCGGUUUUAUCUUAUUUUUUUGCUGUGUUUUGGGAGAUGUGAAGAGACCCCACUACAUAUGGUCGGUGCAAUUGACAGAAAAGAUAGGUGUGACAUUUGCUGUGGCAAGCUGGCAUUCAAGAGAAUGUAAUUAGUACCAGAAGCUUACUACUGGUAUAAAUUAUUGAUCUUUUGUUCUCUCCACACAACUUGCCUCAACUAGCUUAUGCUAUAUGCAACUUGUGUCUAUACCUUUUUUGCAACUAUAAAUUACCAAUAAAGUUUUUUGAAAGUUUUGUCUAAAUUUCAUGGGAAAAGAA